GAAUCAGUACGCUGGUCGUGCCUUCGGUAUGUACUGGUGUCACUGGUUUCUCCCUUCUGAAGAACCAUCAUGCCAUUCACUUGGUGUGGUGGGAAAUCAGGACUGUUACUUUGAAAAAAUUAGAGUGUUCAAAGCAGGCGCACGCUUGCAUAGAUUAGCAUGGAAUAAUGGAAUAGGACC
RNAcentral lists this ribosomal RNA (180 nucleotides) under uncultured Glomeromycotina. Its description in RNAcentral is "partial small subunit ribosomal RNA". Lineage: Eukaryota; Fungi; Glomeromycota. The record is from RNAcentral.